RNAcentral lists this ribosomal RNA (299 nucleotides) under uncultured bacterium. RNAcentral describes it as "partial 16S ribosomal RNA". It matches the Rfam family "Bacterial small subunit ribosomal RNA", at positions 332 to 629 of the family's 1533-position model. The record is from RNAcentral.
UUCACCCUACGGGAGGCAGCAGUGAGGAAUAUUGGUCAAUGGGCGGGAGCCUGAACCAGCCAAGUCGCGUGAGGGAAGACGGUCCUAUGGAUUGUAAACCUCUCUAGGCGGGGAGCAAUGCCGGGCACGCGUGCCCGGAGGGAGAGUACCCGCAGAAUAAGCAUCGGCUAACUCCGUGCCAGCAGCCGCGGUAAUCCGGAGGAUGCGAGCGUUAUCCGGGUUUAUUGGGUUUAAAGGGUGCGUUGGCGGAUUUUUAAGUCAGCGGUAAAAUGGCCGGGCUCAACCCGGGCCGGCCGUUG